CGUAGGGUGCGAGCGUUAAUCGGAAUUACUGGGCGUAAAGCGUGCGCAGGCGGUUUUGUAAGACAGAUGUGAAAUCCCCGGGCUCAACCUGGGACCUGCAUUUGUGACUGCAAGGCUAGAGUACGGUAGAGGGGGAUGGAAUUCCGCGUGUAGCAGUGAAAUGCGUAGAUAUGCGGAGGAACACCGAUGGCGAAGGCAAUCCCCUGGACCUGUACUGACGCUCAUGCACGAAAGCGUGGGGAGCAAACAGGAUUAGAUACCCUGGUAGUCCACGCCCUAAACGAUGUCAACUGGUUGUUGGGUCUUUACUGACUUAGUAACGAAGCUAACGCGUGAAGUUGACCGCCUGGGGAGUACGGCCGCAAGGUUG
RNAcentral lists this ribosomal RNA (370 nucleotides) under uncultured organism. RNAcentral's name for it is "bacterial SSU rRNA". It matches the Rfam family "Bacterial small subunit ribosomal RNA", at positions 526 to 896 of the family's 1533-position model. The record is from RNAcentral.